Molecule: ribosomal RNA, 468 nt
Filed under: uncultured bacterium
Lineage: Bacteria
Description: partial 16S ribosomal RNA
Rfam family: Bacterial small subunit ribosomal RNA
Source: RNAcentral
GACGAACGCUGGCGGCGUGCUUAACACAUGCAAGUCGAACGGAAAGGCCCUGCUUUUGUGGGGUGCUCGAGUGGCGAACGGGUGAGUAACACGUGAGUAACCUGCCCUUGACUUUGGGAUAACUUCUGGAAACUGGGGCUAAUACCGGAUAGGAGCUCCUGCUGCAUGGUGGGGGUUGGAAAGUUUCGGCGGUUGGGGAUGGACUCGCGGCUUAUCAGCUUGUUGGUGGGGUAGUGGCUUACCAAGGCUUUGACGGGUAGCCGGCCUGAGAGGGUGACCGGCCACAUUGGGACUGAGAUACGGCCCAGACUCCUACGGGAGGCAGCAGUGGGGAAUAUUGCACAAUGGGCGGAAGCCUGAUGCAGCAACGCCGCGUGCGGGAUGACGGCCUUCGGGUUGUAAACCGCUUUCGCCUGUGACGAGGCGUGAGUGACGGUAAUGGGUAAAGAAGCACCGGCUAACUACGUG